RNAcentral lists this long non-coding RNA (769 nucleotides) under Setaria viridis. Its description in RNAcentral is "long non-coding RNA (SVIR_LNC003278)". Lineage: Eukaryota; Viridiplantae; Streptophyta; Magnoliopsida; Poales; Poaceae. The record is from RNAcentral.
GGUCUGGAUUGGCGACGGAGGAAUCGUCGCAUAGCGUAGUCCGGGCAGCGCGACUGUGGAGGGGCGGCGGAAAAGGCGGGAGGCAUCGGGCUCCGCAGCCGGGGGUCCGGCGGGUGAUGAUGGGCUCGAGCCGCGAGGUGCUGCAGAAAGGGUUGCAGAGGGCUUCCGCUGCGAUUGGGGAAGGGGGCGCGAGAAUCCAUCCGGUCAUGACCGGCGACGAGGCGGAGCGGCGGGGUCGGAGAAGUUGAGCCACGCGGCGGGGGAACUCUGAAGCGGGCAUGCUACUCGAGUGCGUCUAUCGUGGGGGAUCUGGAAGAAAGAUUUUGUGGGUCCACCGGUCAGUCUCAGUUGGUCCACUGCUCAGAUUGAGCGAGAGGUGUUGCGGGAAGGCUUAGAAGGAUCCGGCAGGUGAGUUGGGGUCGGCGGGGUCGGGACUGGGGAACCAGCGGAGAGGGGUCGGAUCUCAGGGGUCGGGAUGGGACUGGAGGUUGAGCAUUUCAACUCGGGGAGCUGAGGUGGGGAAUUAGGGACUCGGAUGAAGAUUAACUCAAGAGAUUUGGGGUCGGUCGUCACACUAGAUCAGUAACCUUGGAAGCAACAUGUUUUAAUUCCCCAAGGUAUAGGGCAUAUUUGGUUGCCUUGCUAACUCUAGCCUGGUUAGGAUUUGGAGCCAUGAUAUCUUUAAGCCUACGUCGUAUUUGGUUGCUUGGUCAGUACAAUCCUGGCUAAUAUAAUAUUGUGUUUGGUUGCAUGUAGAACUAAUAUGAUA